This 267-nucleotide long non-coding RNA is filed under the name Trifolium pratense (red clover). Its description in RNAcentral is "long non-coding RNA (TPRA_LNC011690)". The record is from RNAcentral. Lineage: Eukaryota; Viridiplantae; Streptophyta; Magnoliopsida; Fabales; Fabaceae.
UUACGUUCUUUAAUUCGAAUUUUUACAGGUAUUCGUCGACGUAAAAAAUGUUAUAAUGAUUUUGAUUGUCCAAGAACUAUGUGCCCAUCAUAUUUGCUAGUUAAGUGUAUAGUAUAUAAUUGUAAAUGCUGUGUUAUAGGAACGUACGAAGAUUAAAAUCCCACAUGAUUCCGUAAAUGCCCAAAGAGCAUACAACACAUGCUAUAAUUAUAUUUAGUUUUUAGUUUUUUUUCCUUUUUCUAGUGUCAACAAUUUAUAGUUAUGGCU